GUGUCGUAGCGCGGGACGAUGGCCCAGAUUUAGAGGCUCUCUUCUUUUUUUUACCCUCUUACAACCGCUCUUUUUCUUUCUUCCAAAAUCUUCGGCGGUGAGUAAUAUUUUUAUCGUUCGCUGUUCUCUAUCUCUCUCUUUUUCUCUGUUAAUCUCUCCGGAGUUCACGAAGAUUCCAGCCGUAGAUAAAGCCUUCUAUUAACAUGUCCAAGGCUGAGGAUAGGGGUCUUUCUUCAUCACAAGAGAGUAAUCAGUUGGGAAGUCAUUCAUUAUCUGGACAAAA
Molecule: non-coding RNA, 283 nt
Organism: Carica papaya (papaya)
Lineage: Eukaryota; Viridiplantae; Streptophyta; Magnoliopsida; Brassicales; Caricaceae
Source: RefSeq, a predicted model, not a curated record